This 495-nucleotide ribosomal RNA is filed under the name uncultured bacterium. RNAcentral's name for it is "bacterial SSU rRNA". It matches the Rfam family "Bacterial small subunit ribosomal RNA", at positions 29 to 518 of the family's 1533-position model. The record is from RNAcentral.
AUGAACGCUAGCGACAGGCCUAACACAUGCAAGUCGAGGGGCAGCACAAGGAGCAAUCUGAGGUGGCGACCGGCGCACGGGUGAGUAACACGUAUGCAACCUGCCUGUAAGCGGGGAAUAACCCGUUGAAAGACGGACUAAUACCGCAUAAUACUAAAUUACUGCAUGGUAAUUUAUUUAAACAUUUAUGGCUUACAGAUGGGCAUGCGCAUGAUUAGCUAGUUGGAGAGGUAACGGCUCCCCAAGGCAACGAUCAUUAGGGGUUCUGAGAGGAAGGUCCCCCACACUGGUACUGAGACACGGACCAGACUCCUACGGGAGGCAGCAGUGAGAAAUAUUGGUCAAUGGACGAGAGUCUGAACCAGCCAAGUCGCGUGCAGGAAGAAUGUCCUAAUGGAUUGUAAACUGCUUUUGCAGGGGAAUAAAGUGCAUCACGUGUGAUGUUUUGUAUGUACUCUGCGAAUAAGGAUCGGCUAACUCCGUGCCAGCCGCAGC